GACGAACGCUGGCGGCGUGCUUAACACAUGCAAGUCGAACGGAAAGGCCCUGCUUUUGUGGGGUGCUCGAGUGGCGAACGGGUGAGUAACACGUGAGUAACCUGCCCUUGACUUUGGGAUAACUUCAGGAAACUGGGGCUAAUACCGGAUAGGAGCUCCUGCUGCAUGGUGGGGGGUGGAAAGUUUCGGCGGUUGGGGAUGGACUCGCGGCUUAUGAGCUUGUUGGUGGGGUAGUGGCUUACCAAGGCUUUGACGGGUAGCCGGCCUGAGAGGGUGACCGGCCACAUUGGGACUGAGAUACGGCCCAGACUCCUACGGGAGGCAGCAGUGGGGAAUAUUGCACAAUGGGCGGAAGCCUGAUGCAGCAACGCCGCGUGCGGGAUGACGGCCUUCGGGUUGUAAACCGCUGUCGCCUGUGACGAAGCGUGAGUGACGGUAAUGGGUAAAGAAGCACCGGCUAACUACGUG
This 468-nucleotide ribosomal RNA is filed under the name uncultured bacterium. RNAcentral's name for it is "partial 16S ribosomal RNA". It matches the Rfam family "Bacterial small subunit ribosomal RNA", at positions 28 to 507 of the family's 1533-position model. The record is from RNAcentral.